ACAGCACAAACGUAACGACCAAUUCAGUUUCAAAACAAGAUGCCAGCUGAGGUGAUGAUUUUAGAAGGCUGGAAGAGGAAUGUCUUUCGCGGGUUCCAAAAAGACAACAGAGAAGGUGUGUGUCUGACAUGCGGUGGGAGGGUGUUCCAAAGGUGCCACCACACUAAAGGCCAUGAACCCGAAAUUAUGCAGAAGGCAGCUGAGCAGAUACGAUCUGCAGAACACCCUCUCCAGCGUGAUGCAGGGGUGUUUUGGGUACGUACAGG
Podarcis lilfordi (Lilford's wall lizard) is the source of this 266-nucleotide non-coding RNA. The record is from the annotation of a GenBank genome assembly. NCBI's taxonomy places the organism in Eukaryota, Metazoa, Chordata, Lepidosauria, Squamata, Lacertidae.